RNAcentral lists this ribosomal RNA (253 nucleotides) under uncultured bacterium. Its description in RNAcentral is "partial 16S ribosomal RNA". It matches the Rfam family "Bacterial small subunit ribosomal RNA", at positions 524 to 776 of the family's 1533-position model. The record is from RNAcentral.
UACGUAGGGGGCAAGCGUUGUCCGGAUUUAUUGGGCGUAAAGAGCGUGUAGGCGGCCUGACAGGUCUGCUGUGAAAACUCGAGGCUCAACCUCGAGAUGUCGGCGGAAACCGUCUGGCUAGAGUCCGGAAGAGGAGAGUGGAAUUCCUGGUGUAGCGGUGAAAUGCGCAGAUAUCAGGAAGAACACCUAUGGCGAAGGCAGCCCUCUGGGACGGUACUGACGCUGAGACGCGAAAGCGUGGGGAGCGAACAGG